Molecule: ribosomal RNA, 252 nt
Filed under: uncultured bacterium
Lineage: Bacteria
Description: partial 16S ribosomal RNA
Rfam family: Bacterial small subunit ribosomal RNA
Source: RNAcentral
UACGGAGGAUGCGAGCGUUAUCCGGAUUUAUUGGGUUUAAAGGGUGCGUAGGCGGACGCUUAAGUCAGCGGUAAAAUUGCGGGGCUCAACCUCGUCGAGCCGUUGAAACUGGGUGCCUUGAGUGGGCGAGAAGUACGCGGAAUGCGUGGUGUAGCGGUGAAAUGCAUAGAUAUCACGCUGAACUCCGAUUGCGAAGGCAGCGUACCGGCGCCCAACUGACGCUGAAGCACGAAGGCGUGGGUAUCGAACAGG